AACAAUAGAAUUCAGACCUGUCUUGGCGGUAGUGCAAUGCAGUAAUUCUCAAAUUUUUUAUUGGCAUAAAUAAUUCAGACAUUGGUUUCUCACUAACAUUGCACUAAACACAAGAAACAACAGGCUUGCCGGCUCAGAGGCAGACAAACUGUCCAACAGCCCAAGUUAGAAAUACUUUUUUUAGAAGUGUAGAAAACUUUAUAAAUGAUUCUGUACAAAUAUACACAGUGGACCCUCCAUCCAUCUGGCCUUUCUUUCCUGGAUGGCAUCUGAAUAGAGUGUUCUUUCUCAGCAACAAGACAUUGGCAACAAGUGAGAAAGAGAGAGACAGAGACGGAGACAGACAGAGAUAGAAACGGAAAGGAAAAGAAAGAAGUGGCCCCAAAAAAGAAAACAUGAAACCACCUUCUUACAUCAACUCAUUCUGCAACAGUCGACACAAACAAACAUGGAGAAAAGAAUAUGGACCAUCGGUCCGCGUUGUGAACUGGAAAUUGCAAGGAAGGUAGAAAAGGCCCUUCACUAUCUGGGAGACUUUCCUUCCUGCGGAAUACAGAAGGG
Molecule: long non-coding RNA, 561 nt
Filed under: Pongo abelii (Sumatran orangutan)
Lineage: Eukaryota; Metazoa; Chordata; Mammalia; Primates; Hominidae
Description: lincRNA
Source: RNAcentral